Molecule: ribosomal RNA, 531 nt
Filed under: uncultured bacterium
Lineage: Bacteria
Description: bacterial SSU rRNA
Rfam family: Bacterial small subunit ribosomal RNA
Source: RNAcentral
AAUAGAUACCCGGGUAGUCCACGCCGUAAACGAUGUCGACUUGGAGGUUGUGCCCUUGAGGCGUGGCUUCCGGAGCUAACGCGUUAAGUCGACCGCCUGGGGAGUACGGCCGCAAGGUUAAAACUCAAAUGAAUUGACGGGGGCCCGCACAAGCGGUGGAGCAUGUGGUUUAAUUCGAUGCAACGCGAAGAACCUUACCUACUCUUGACAUCCAGAGAACUUAGCAGAGAUGCUUUGGUGCCUUCGGGAACUCUGAGACAGGUGCUGCAUGGCUGUCGUCAGCUCGUGUUGUGAAAUGUUGGGUUAAGUCCCGCAACGAGCGCAACCCUUAUCCUUUGUUGCCAGCGGUUAGGCCGGGAACUCAAAGGAGACUGCCAGUGAUAAACUGGAGGAAGGUGGGGAUGACGUCAAGUCAUCAUGGCCCUUAGAGUAGGGCUACACACGUGCUACAAUGGCAUAUCAAAAGNGAAGCGACCUCGCGAGAGCAAGCGGACCUCAUAAAAGUAUGUCGUAGUCCGGAUUGGAGUCUGA